This 465-nucleotide ribosomal RNA is filed under the name Vreelandella stevensii. Its description in RNAcentral is "partial 16S ribosomal RNA". It matches the Rfam family "Bacterial small subunit ribosomal RNA", at positions 338 to 795 of the family's 1533-position model. The record is from RNAcentral. Lineage: Bacteria; Pseudomonadati; Pseudomonadota; Gammaproteobacteria; Oceanospirillales; Halomonadaceae.
CCUACGGGGGGCUGCAGUGGGGAAUAUUGGACAAUGGGGGCAACCCUGAUCCAGCCAUGCCGCGUGUGUGAAGAAGGCCCUCGGGUUGUAAAGCACUUUCAGUGAGGAAGAACGCCUGGUGGUUAAUACCCAUCAGGAAAGACAUCACUCACAGAAGAAGCACCGGCUAACUCCGUGCCAGCAGCCGCGGUAAUACGGAGGGUGCGAGCGUUAAUCGGAAUUACUGGGCGUAAAGCGCGCGUAGGUGGCUUGAUAAGCCGGUUGUGAAAGCCCCGGGCUCAACCUGGGAACGGCAUCCGGAACUGUCAAGCUAGAGUGAAGGAGAGGAAGGUAGAAUUCCCGGUGUAGCGGUGAAAUGCGUAGAGAUCGGGAGGAAUACCAGUGGCGAAGGCGGCCUUCUGGACUGACACUGACACUGAGGUGCGAAAGCGUGGGUAGCAAACAGGAUUAGAUACCCUUGUAGUC